UGAAGUUCAAGCAAAGACAAUUUUUUUUUCCUUUUCAGAAAACAAGAUAGUAGAAGUCCCUUUAAAGUGAUGCUUUAUUACAUCCAUAAACGAUAGAAUCCCAGUGCUACAGUAAGGCAUGUAAAUACUGAACCUGCUAAGUACUUAAUAUUAUCAAGUUUGUGCGAUUCCAGCAUUGUUUUCAGAUCAGCAACUUCUGUGUCUAUUUUUCUGUCUGUUUGGGUCAGAGCUCGAUCUUGUUGUGCAUGCAAUUCUACUACUUCUGUCCUCAUUUCGAG
This 278-nucleotide long non-coding RNA is filed under the name Gallus gallus (chicken). The record is from RNAcentral. Lineage: Eukaryota; Metazoa; Chordata; Aves; Galliformes; Phasianidae.